AGAGUUUGAUCAUGGCUCAGAUUGAACGCUGGCGGCAUGCCUAACACAUGCAAGUCGAACGGUAACGCGGGGGCAACCCUGGCGACGAGUGGCGGACGGGUGAGUAAUACGUAGGAAUCUGCCCAUUUGUGGGGGAUAACCCGACGAAAGCCGGGCUAAUACCGCAUACGCUCUACGGAGGAAAGCGGGGGAUCGUAAGACCUCGCGCUAAUGGAUGAGCCUACGUCGGAUUAGCUAGUUGGUAGGGUAACGGCCUACCAAGGCGACGAUCCGUAGCUGGUCUGAGAGGACGAUCAGCCACACUGGGACUGAGACACGGCCCAGACUCCUACGGGAGGCAGCAGUGGGGAAUAUUGGACAAUGGCCGCAAGGCUGAUCCAGCCAUCCAGCGUGCAGGAAGAAGGCCCUAUGGGUUGUAAACUGCUUUUGUCAGGGAAUAAACCCUUGGAUUUACUCCGAGGCUGAAGGUACCUGAAGAAUAAGCACCGGCUAACUCCGUG
Molecule: ribosomal RNA, 500 nt
Filed under: uncultured bacterium
Lineage: Bacteria
Description: bacterial SSU rRNA
Rfam family: Bacterial small subunit ribosomal RNA
Source: RNAcentral